This 750-nucleotide ribosomal RNA is filed under the name uncultured bacterium. RNAcentral's name for it is "bacterial SSU rRNA". It matches the Rfam family "Bacterial small subunit ribosomal RNA", at positions 43 to 783 of the family's 1533-position model. The record is from RNAcentral.
CAGGCCUAACACAUGCAAGUCGAGCGGACCACUCCUUCGGGGAUGGUUAGCGGCGGACGGGUGAGUAACACGUAGGCAACCUGCCUGUAAGAUCGGGAUAACUACCGGAAACGGUAGCUAAGACCGGAUAGCUGGUUUCUCCGCAUGGGGGAAUCAUGAAACACGGGGCAACCUGUGGCUUACGGAUGGGCCUGCGGCGCAUUAGCUAGUUGGUGGGGUAACGGCCCACCAAGGCGACGAUGCGUAGCCGACCUGAGAGGGUGAUCGGCCACACUGGGACUGAGACACGGCCCAGACUCCUACGGGAGGCAGCAGUAGGGAAUCUUCCGCAAUGGGCGCAAGCCUGACGGAGCAACGCCGCGUGAGUGAUGAAGGUUUUCGGAUCGUAAAGCUCUGUUGCCAAGGAAGAACGCCUCGGAGAGUAACUGCUCUGAGGGUGACGGUACUUGAGAAGAAAGCCCCGGCUAACUACGUGCCAGCAGCCGCGGUAAUACGUAGGGGGCAAGCGUUGUCCGGAAUUAUUGGGCGUAAAGCGCGCGCAGGCGGUCUUUUAAGUUUGGUGUUUAAGCCCGGGGCUCAACCCCGGUUCGCACUGAAAACUGGGAGACUUGAGUGCAGGAGAGGAAAGCGGAAUUCCACGUGUAGCGGUGAAAUGCGUAGAGAUGUGGAGGAACACCAGUGGCGAAGGCGGCUUUCUGGACUGUAACUGACGCUGAGGCGCGAAAGCGUGGGGAGCAAACAGGAUUAGAU